This 609-nucleotide long non-coding RNA is filed under the name Ananas comosus (pineapple). RNAcentral describes it as "long non-coding RNA (ACOM_LNC019345)". Lineage: Eukaryota; Viridiplantae; Streptophyta; Magnoliopsida; Poales; Bromeliaceae. The record is from RNAcentral.
UACUAACCCUCGAAAUUUGCGCCAUUCGAAUGAUCAAGUGAUUCGGCUGAUGAGGGAUCAGAUCAGCCGGGUUCGAAAUUUCUACAGUAAAUUCGGUUCGGUGGAAUGAGUCGAGUGUACGGACCGAACAAGAACCGAAAUCGGCCGAGGAGCCGAAUGAUUAGAGAACAAAGGAAUAGAUCGGCUUGAAGAGCCGAAAUACCUUUAUAUUGAGUGGAAGGAAGUACAGGGGUCGAAUGUGCCGGAUGGCAUGCAGACUCGAUUGAUCUACUUUACGGACUACUCCUAGAAAGAACAGUAAAUAUUGGAAAAGAAAAGUUACAAGUAGGCUACUCCUAGAAAAUGCAGAAAAUUGCGAGGAAUUAAGUGUAGUCUUUUGUUCACAAGCUAAAAGACCCUUUUUUAGGGCAUUGUUGAUCUAUUUAUAGAUCGCCUCUUGAUCAGUUAUUGCUCUUACACGAUCGGCCACUAUCUCCUAAUAUUCCGGACCACCUCCAGCCGAUCGGAACCGCAUGCAACCGCUUGCGGUUACUGUAACUUCCUUCAAUUGGCGCAACGGUUUACUUUAAAACUUUUUCGGUACUCCUGGUGCAUGGCCAAAUUAAUACC